This 89-nucleotide transfer RNA is filed under the name Dichomitus squalens. It matches the Rfam family "tRNA". Rfam says of the family: Transfer RNA (tRNA) molecules are approximately 80 nucleotides in length. Their secondary structure includes four short double-helical elements and three loops (D, anti-codon, and T loops). The record is from Rfam by way of RNAcentral. Lineage: Eukaryota; Fungi; Basidiomycota; Agaricomycetes; Polyporales; Polyporaceae.
UCCCGUUUAGCUCAGUUGGUAGAGCGCGUCACUAGUAUUCGCAUCAUUGCGCUAUGACGAGGUCAGUCGUUCGAGUCGGCUAAUGGGAA